Myotis daubentonii (Daubenton's bat) is the source of this 1099-nucleotide long non-coding RNA. RefSeq lists it as uncharacterized. The record is from RefSeq and is a predicted model, not a curated record. NCBI's taxonomy places the organism in Eukaryota, Metazoa, Chordata, Mammalia, Chiroptera, Vespertilionidae.
AACAUCAAUAAGAGAGAAAUGACCAGCUGCCUCCUGCACACCCUGCAACCAAGGUACAUGCCCUUCACCGGAAUCGAAUCUGGGACCCUUCAGUCCGCAGGCCAACGCUCUAGCCACUGAGCCAAACCAGCUAGGGCUGUACCACUACUUUUUUAUCUACUUGUCUAAUAAUAGAUAAUUGAGUUGCUUCCGUAUCUUGGCUAUAGUAAAUAACACUGUAGUAACACUGAACAUAGGGGUGCAUAUAUUCUUUUGAAUUAGUGCUUUAGGUUUCUUCAUAUAUAUGCCAAGAAGUGGAAUCUCUGGGUCAUAGGGCAGUUCCAUUUUUAAUUUUUUGAGGACCCUCCAUACCGUUUUCCAAUCUGCAUUCCCACCAACUGUGCACAAGGGUUCCCUUUUUUCUACAUCCUUGCCAACACUUGUUUGUUGAUCUGUGAAGUAAUUCUAAGUCAUUGGUCACAGGUGAAGCUAUAAGAUAGGUGGGGUCAAGAUGGCCCAGAGAACUGUGUGUAUGUAUGUGUGUGAGCGUGUGAUUUUUUUUUUUUUUUUACAGUGGCUGGCUGUCUAAAGUAUUUUUUACAAUAUGUUUAAUAAUCAGUGCUUUAAAAGCAGUGGUUUCCUACAAAGUGGAAACUAAGGUCCAAGCCUGGAGUGUGAAGUGGAGGUCACGUUGCAAUGUCACCGCCUGUGAGUGAAGUCUGGUCUGGGGAGCCCAGGGCGGCUCGUGGACACUCGUGGUGGCAGGAGCCAGGCUGCCCUUGAGAGACAGGACCCACUGCAGCUGGCCGGCCUGCCUUUUCAUUUCUAAUGGGAUACAGUACUUUUUAAAUAAGGAGUCAUACUUUUUUUUUAAGUUUGAGAAAUGAAUGUGAUUUCUAAUUGUAUCAGACAUUGUUUUAAAGCUAUAACAAAGUUUAAAAUUUCUACAUUUUGUUUUUCAUUUAUUGUAACUGUUCUUUUAUCUAUUAAAUUGUAUGUGGAUGGGGACGUUCUGUUUCCCCUCUUAGCAUUUGUUUCUAUAACCAGAAAUAAAGUUAUAUAUUAAAGAAAUGAGAAAAAAAAAUGGCCCAGAGAUAGGGUUGCCAGAUUUAGCAAAUAA